AUUUCAGUUGUGAGUCUGAUUAAUUUCAGCGAAAGACUUUCCUUUUGUCAUUAAUUUCGCGGCCUGCCUGCGACUUUCUUAGUGAAAAUCUUUCUCAUGUCUAGUGAAUUUAUUCAAGCUGAUUUCACCAUGGUGGUACUUUUACCAAUGAAGCCAAGCCAAAAUACGUAGAUGAAUGAGACGUGGAAAUCAACGGUAGUGAAGAAGAUCACUUUCUGUUGGUUGAAUUGCAGUUUUAUUCUAAAGAUCAUGCGUACAAUACUGUUGGUGGUUUCAAUGUUUUGAACCAAGAGACAAAAGACUUUGUUUUGUUGGAAAAAGACCCUCAACUUUAUAAUA
Molecule: long non-coding RNA, 339 nt
Organism: Nicotiana attenuata
Lineage: Eukaryota; Viridiplantae; Streptophyta; Magnoliopsida; Solanales; Solanaceae
Exons: 2
Source: RefSeq, a predicted model, not a curated record